RNAcentral lists this non-coding RNA (22 nucleotides) under Arabidopsis thaliana (thale cress). Lineage: Eukaryota; Viridiplantae; Streptophyta; Magnoliopsida; Brassicales; Brassicaceae. The record is from RNAcentral.
UCAACCAUAAACGAUGCCGACC